GGUCGAAGGAGGAAAUUCAUUCGCGUUUCGAUCGUCGGCGUUUGACGGGUUUCGUGACGGACGGCGUUCGCGUCGUUCGCUCAGCUCGUUUUUCGAACCGAUAUCGAACGCGUGCACUUUUCCUCUUGUAGGACGUUGCGAUCCGUUGGGUGUCGGUCUAAGGUCCGGGGUGGAGCCCACGUGAAUUUUUCGCGUGGACCCUCGGUAUCCCGGCCGACUCGCUCGACGGUAUAACGAUGGCGCGGGGCCGCUACUUUAUAAUUAGCGUUCGGCUCGUGGCAAGCGCGUCCGGUGUUUGACGGCGAUCGGACCUAGCGCCGAUCCUGUCCCCGGGCGACUGUUGGCUACGAUGUUCUCGAACAGACCUCG
RNAcentral lists this ribosomal RNA (369 nucleotides) under Leptinotarsa juncta (false potato beetle). RNAcentral's name for it is "partial 28S ribosomal RNA". The record is from RNAcentral. Lineage: Eukaryota; Metazoa; Arthropoda; Insecta; Coleoptera; Chrysomelidae.